Molecule: ribosomal RNA, 651 nt
Filed under: uncultured bacterium
Lineage: Bacteria
Description: bacterial SSU rRNA
Rfam family: Bacterial small subunit ribosomal RNA
Source: RNAcentral
CAUGCAAGUCGAGCGGGCGUAGCAAUACGUCAGCGGCAGACGGGUGAGUAACGCGUGGGAACAUACCUUUUGGUUCGGAACAACACAGGGAAACUUGUGCUAAUACCGGAUAAGCCCUUACGGGGAAAGAUUUAUCGCCGAAAGAUUGGCCCGCGUCUGAUUAGCUAGUUGGUGAGGUAACGGCUCACCAAGGCGACGAUCAGUAGCUGGUCUGAGAGGAUGAUCAGCCACAUUGGGACUGAGACACGGCCCAAACUCCUACGGGAGGCAGCAGUGGGGAAUAUUGGACAAUGGGCGAAAGCCUGAUCCAGCCAUGCCGCGUGAGUGAUGAAGGCCCUAGGGUUGUAAAGCUCUUUUGUGCGGGAAGAUAAUGACGGUACCGCAAGAAUAAGCCCCGGCUAACUUCGUGCCAGCAGCCGCGGUAAUACGAAGGGGGCUAGCGUUGCUCGGAAUCACUGGGCGUAAAGGGUGCGUAGGCGGGUUUUUAAGUCAGAGGUGAAAUCCUGGAGCUCAACUCCAGAACUGCCUUUGAUACUGAGAAUCUUGAGUUCGGGAGAGGUGAGUGGAACUGCGAGUGUAGAGGUGAAAUUCGUAGAUAUUCGCAAGAACACCAGUGGCGAAGGCGGCUCACUGGCCCGAUACUGACGCUGA